Molecule: ribosomal RNA, 227 nt
Filed under: uncultured bacterium
Lineage: Bacteria
Description: partial 16S ribosomal RNA
Rfam family: Bacterial small subunit ribosomal RNA
Source: RNAcentral
UACAUACUGUGCGAACGUUUAUUCGGAUUCACUGGGCUUAAAGGGUGCGUAGGCGGCUUGUUAAGUACGGGUGUGAAAGCCCCCAGCUCAACUGGGGAACUGCACUCUAUACUGGCGAGCUGGAGUGAGAUAGGGGUGUGUGGAACUGCCAGUGGAGCGGUGAAAUGUGUUGAUAUUGGCAGGAACGCCGGUGGCGAAAGCGACACACUGGGUCUCAACUGACGCUG